RNAcentral lists this long non-coding RNA (250 nucleotides) under Olea europaea subsp. europaea. Lineage: Eukaryota; Viridiplantae; Streptophyta; Magnoliopsida; Lamiales; Oleaceae. The record is from RNAcentral.
CCAAUGAUUAUAUAUUUCUUCUAAUUCACAGAGGGGCUUUAGCCGUGUUCUAUUCUACACGGAGGGUCUUGACCUGACAUUGGUCUUGAUCAUGUACAUAUAGUUCACAGAGGUGCUUUGGUCGUGUUCUAGAAUUGAUUACCAGAGAUCUUUGAGACCGACUUUCGUUCAUAGAGGGGUCAAAGGCCUGUGGCGAAAGUUCUUAACCCGAGGGGCGGAUUACAGAUUUUAGUUAGAGGGUACAUUUUUU